AUUGAACGCUGGCGGCAGGCCUAACACAUGCAAGUCGAGCGGACGAAGGGAGCUUGCUCCUGGAUUCAGCGGCCGACGGGCGAGUAAUGCCUAGGAAUCUGCCUGGUAGUGGGGGAUAACGUCCGGUCACGGGAGCUAAUACCGCAUACGUCCUGAGGGUGAAAGUGGGGGAUCUUUGGACCUCACCCUUUCAGAUGAGCCUAGGUCGGAUUAGCUAGUUGGUGGGGUAAAGGCUUACCAAGGCGACGAUCCGUAACUGGUCUGAGAGGGUGAUCAGUCACACUGGAACUGAGACACGGUCCAGACUCCUACGGGAGGCAGCAGUGGGGAAUAUUGGACAAUGGGCGAAAGCCUGAUCCAGCCAUGCCGCGUGAGUGAAGAAGGUCUUCGGAUUGUAAAGCACUUUAAGUUGGGAGGAAGAGAAGUAAGUUAAUACCUUGCUGUUUUGACGUUACCAACAGAGAAAGCACCGGCUAACUUCGUG
This 484-nucleotide ribosomal RNA is filed under the name uncultured bacterium. RNAcentral's name for it is "partial 16S ribosomal RNA". It matches the Rfam family "Bacterial small subunit ribosomal RNA", at positions 30 to 507 of the family's 1533-position model. The record is from RNAcentral.